CCUACGGGAGGCAGCAGUGGGGAAUUUUGGACAAUGGGCGCAAGCCUGAUCCAGCAAUGCCGCGUGAGUGAAGAAGGCCUUCGGGUUGUAAAGCUCUUUUGUCAGGGAAGAAACGGCUGAGGCUAAUAUCCUCGGCUAAUGACGGUACCUGAAGAAUAAGCACCGGCUAACUACGUGCCAGCAGCCGCGGUAAUACGUAGGGUGCAAGCGUUAAUCGGAAUUACUGGGCGUAAAGCGUGCGCAGGCGGUUUUGUAAGUCUGUCGUGAAAGCCCCGGGCUUAACCUGGGAAUUGCGAUGGAGACUGCAAGGCUUGAAUCUGGCAGAGGGGGGUAGAAUUUCACGUGUAGCAGUGAAAUGCGUAGAGAUGUGGAGGAACACCGAUGGCGAAGGCAGCCCCCUGGGUCAAGAUUGACGCUCAUGCACGAAAGCGUGGGGAGCAAACAGGAUUAGAUACCCUGGUAGUCCACGCCCUAAACGAUGUCUACUAGUUGUCGGGUCUUAAUUGACUUGGUAACGCAGCUAACGCGUGAAGUAGACCGCCUGGGGAGUACGGUCGCAAGNUUAAAAACUCAAAAUGAGUAGAGNGNGAGAGAGCGAGACGACGACGAGGGAGGAGG
This 618-nucleotide ribosomal RNA is filed under the name uncultured bacterium. Its description in RNAcentral is "bacterial SSU rRNA". It matches the Rfam family "Bacterial small subunit ribosomal RNA", at positions 338 to 944 of the family's 1533-position model. The record is from RNAcentral.